This 252-nucleotide ribosomal RNA is filed under the name Triticum aestivum (bread wheat). RNAcentral's name for it is "partial small subunit ribosomal RNA". Lineage: Eukaryota; Viridiplantae; Streptophyta; Magnoliopsida; Poales; Poaceae. The record is from RNAcentral.
AUGUGUGUUCUGAAAAGGAAAAGUGGCAUGGGGUUUAGAGACUUGCAUUUUUUUAAUCUAGCUUUGCUUUCUAAGUAAUAUUGGAGGUUGCUUUUUGACCCUGACUGCCUUUGUGCAAAACUCCUCAGAGCAAAGUACUUUCCUUCAGGAGACUUUCUAAACUGUGAACUGAAGAAUGGAAACUCUUAUAUUGGCGAAGUAUUUGGGCGGCAUCCAAACUUUCAAACGGGGACACAUUUGGCGGAUUCGUGA